UAUAUAGUUUUUUUUUAAAUUAAACAAAAACUAAAUGUUUAAUUAUUUACUCGAUAAUAUAAAUCUAUGAAUCGAAAAGUUUAAUUUCUAAAAACUUUCUAAAUUUGUUAAAUGUUACAAUAUCUUUGAAUAUGACAAUAAACAAUAUUUUACUAAUCUUUAUAUAUAUAUACUUACGAUUUUAAUAAUGAAAUAAUAAUCCGAAAAUAUAUAUAUUGAAGAAAAUACAAAUAGAUGUGAAAGUCUGAAACAAUCUAUUCAAUAAAAAAAUAUACCGUAACUUUAUUAUGUUUUAAAAAUUGAUAGACACAUAUAUCUUAUAAUAUAUACCAAUUUAGAAUUAAAAACAAAAUAUUUAUAUAAAAAUAAAUGAAAACAAAAAUCUGCGCGGUUGCGCGGAUCGAGAUCUAGUAAAUGUUUUAAACUUUGUAUUUUGUAAUGUAAACAGACUAUAAAAGAACAUUUUCCCCUAAUCAAUACCUAUCUUCUUAGCUGCUAAAUAAUUUUACCAGAAAUUGACAUAUAUGUAUAGAUAUAUGGGAAUCUUAUUUUUCAAAUAUUGAAUUAUAAGCCCCCUCCAGACAACUUUUGUAUA
This 595-nucleotide long non-coding RNA is filed under the name Brassica napus (rape). Its description in RNAcentral is "long non-coding RNA (BNAP_LNC011258)". The record is from RNAcentral. Lineage: Eukaryota; Viridiplantae; Streptophyta; Magnoliopsida; Brassicales; Brassicaceae.